RNAcentral lists this ribosomal RNA (2214 nucleotides) under Listeria monocytogenes. RNAcentral describes it as "partial 23S ribosomal RNA". It matches the Rfam family "Bacterial large subunit ribosomal RNA", at positions 1 to 2205 of the family's 2925-position model. The record is from RNAcentral. Lineage: Bacteria; Bacillati; Bacillota; Bacilli; Caryophanales; Listeriaceae.
UUGGUUAAGUUAGAAAGGGCGCACGGUGGAUGCCUUGGCACUAGGAGCCGAAGAAGGACGGGACUAACACCGAUAUGCUUUGGGGAGCUGUACGUAAGCGUUGAUCCAGAGAUUUCCGAAUGGGGGAACCCACUAUCUUUAGUCGGAUAGUAUCCUUACGUGAAUACAUAGCGUGAGGAAGGCAGACCCAGGGAACUGAAACAUCUAAGUACCUGGAGGAAGAGAAAGAAAAAUCGAUUUCCUGAGUAGCGGCGAGCGAAACGGAAAGAGCCCAAACCAAGAAGCUUGCUUCUUGGGGUUGUAGGACACUCUAUACGGAGUUACAAAAGAAAGUUAUAAAUGAAGCGGUCUGGAAAGGCCCGCCAAAGACGGUAACAGCCCGGUAGUUGAAAUGGCUUUCCCUCCAGAGUGGAUCCUGAGUACGGCGGAACACGUGAAAUUCCGUCGGAAUCCGGGAGGACCAUCUCCCAAGGCUAAAUACUCCCUAGUGACCGAUAGUGAACCAGUACCGUGAGGGAAAGGUGAAAAGCACCCCGGAAGGGGAGUGAAACAGUUCCUGAAACCGUGUGCCUACAAGUAGUUAGAGCCCGUUAAUGGGUGAUAGCGUGCCUUUUGUAGAAUGAACCGGCGAGUUACGAUUUGUUGCAAGGUUAAGCGGAAAAAGCGGAGCCGUAGCGAAAGCGAGUCUGAAUAGGGCGCAUAAGUAACAGGUCGUAGACCCGAAACCAGGUGAUCUACCCAUGUCCAGGAUGAAGGUAAGGUAAUACUUACUGGAGGUCCGAACCCACGCACGUUGAAAAGUGCGGGGAUGAGGUGUGGGUAGCGGAGAAAUUCCAAUCGAACUUGGAGAUAGCUGGUUCUCUCCGAAAUAGCUUUAGGGCUAGCCUCGAGGUAAAGAGUCAUGGAGGUAGAGCACUGUUUGGACUAGGGGCCCUUCUCGGGUUACCGAAUUCAGAUAAACUCCGAAUGCCAUGUACUUAUACUCGGGAGUCAGACUGCGAGUGAUAAGAUCCGUAGUCGAAAGGGAAACAGCCCAGACCACCAGUUAAGGUCCCCAAAUAUAUGUUAAGUGGAAAAGGAUGUGGGGUUGCUUAGACAACCAGGAUGUUGGCUUAGAAGCAGCCACCAUUGAAAGAGUGCGUAAUAGCUCACUGGUCGAGUGACCCCGCGCCGAAAAUGUACCGGGGCUAAACAUAUUACCGAAACUGUGGAUGAACCUCUUUAGAGGUUCGUGGUAGGAGAGCGUUCUAAGGGCGGUGAAGUCAGACCGGAAGGACUGGUGGAGCGCUUAGAAGUGAGAAUGCCGGUAUGAGUAGCGAAAGAAGGGUGAGAAUCCCUUCCACCGAAUAUCUAAGGUUUCCUGAGGAAGGCUCGUCCGCUCAGGGUUAGUCGGGACCUAAGCCGAGGCCGAUAGGCGUAGGCGAUGGACAACAGGUAGAGAUUCCUGUACCAGUGCUAAUUGUUUAACCGAUGGGGUGACACAGAAGGAUAGGGAAUCGCACGAAUGGAAAUGUGCGUCCAAGCAGUGAGUGUGAGAAGUAGGCAAAUCCGCUUCUCGCGAAGCAUGAGCUGUGAUGGGGAAGGAAAUUAAGUACGGAAGUUCCUGAUUUCACGCUGUCAAGAAAAGCCUCUAGGAAGAGUAGUACUGCCCGUACCGCAAACCGACACAGGUAGAUGAGGAGAGAAUCCUAAGGUGAGCGAGAGAACUCUCGUUAAGGAACUCGGCAAAAUGACCCCGUAACUUCGGGAGAAGGGGUGCUCUAUUAGGGUGCAAGCCCGAGAGAGCCGCAGUGAAUAGGCCCAGGCGACUGUUUAGCAAAAACACAGGUCUCUGCAAAACCGUAAGGUGACGUAUAGGGGCUGACGCCUGCCCGGUGCUGGAAGGUUAAGAGGAGUGCUUAGCUUCGGCGAAGGUACGAAUUGAAGCCCCAGUAAACGGCGGCCGUAACUAUAACGGUCCUAAGGUAGCGAAAUUCCUUGUCGGGUAAGUUCCGACCCGCACGAAAGGCGCAACGAUCUGGGCACUGUCUCAACGAGAGACUCGGUGAAAUUAUAGUACCUGUGAAGAUGCAGGUUACCCGCGACAGGACGGAAAGACCCCGUGGAGCUUUACUGCAACCUGAUAUGGAAUGUUUGUACCGCUUGUACAGGAUAGGUAGGAGCCGAAGAGACGUGUGCGCUAGCAUACGAGGAGGCAAUGGUGGGAUACUACCC